AACGAACGCUGGCGGCGCGUCUUAAGCAUGCAAGUCGAACGGUAACACGGGGCAACCUGGUGACGAGUGGCGAACGGGUGAGUAACGCGUAGGUGAUCUGCCUUUUGGUUGGGGAUAUACCGUGGAAACACGGGGCAAUACCGAAUAAGUUCCUCGGGUCUGGACCUGGGGAAGAAAGGGGCUACGGCCUCGCCGAAAGAUGACCCUGCGUUUGAUUAGAUAGUUGGUGAGGUAAAGGCUCACCAAGGCGACGAUCAAUAGCCGGCCUGAGAGGGGGGUCGGCCACACUGGGACUGGGACACGGCCCAGACGCCUACGGGAGGCAGCAGACGGGAAUUUUGGACAAUGGGCGAAAGCCUGAUCCAGCAAGGCCGCGUGUGUGAAGAAGGCCUUCGGGUUGUAAAGCACUUUUGUCCGGAAAGAAAUGGCUCUGGUUAAUACCUGGGGUCGAUGACGGUACCGGAAGAAUAAGGACCGGCUAACUACGUGCCAGCCGCCGCCGUAA
RNAcentral lists this ribosomal RNA (505 nucleotides) under uncultured bacterium. Its description in RNAcentral is "partial 16S ribosomal RNA". It matches the Rfam family "Bacterial small subunit ribosomal RNA", at positions 29 to 523 of the family's 1533-position model. The record is from RNAcentral.